UGGGAGGGGUGGAUAGCCCCGUACGACACCUCACUCAUUGUAGGAUUCUGACGUGGGAGUCGAGUUGUUUGGGAAUGCAGCUCAAAAGGGUGGUAUGCUCCAUCUAAAGCUAAAUAUCUGUGAGAGACCGAUAGCGAACAAGUACUGUGAAGGAAAGAUGAAAAGAACUUUGAAAAGAGAGUGAAAAAGUACGUGAAAUUGUUGAAAUGGAAGGAUAUGCC
Molecule: ribosomal RNA, 221 nt
Filed under: uncultured Saccharomycetaceae
Lineage: Eukaryota; Fungi; Ascomycota; Saccharomycetes; Saccharomycetales; Saccharomycetaceae
Description: partial 26S ribosomal RNA
Rfam family: Eukaryotic large subunit ribosomal RNA
Source: RNAcentral